RNAcentral lists this long non-coding RNA (3265 nucleotides) under Triticum aestivum (bread wheat). RNAcentral's name for it is "long non-coding RNA (TAES_LNC020533)". The record is from RNAcentral. Lineage: Eukaryota; Viridiplantae; Streptophyta; Magnoliopsida; Poales; Poaceae.
GAGUCGUCGAGGUUGAGCACCUGAGGAGUAGUUACAUUCUGUCGAGUCACGAACGGUGGAGCAUCCAAUGAAGGAUGAGGCAUCCAGUGGUGACGUCGGUGCAUUAGGCAGUACCAGGGCAAGGGAUUGGAUCGAUGGAUUUCUCAUAUUGGGCUUGGCCAUCUCCUUUGUACGUCUUUUCUUCUUCCCCUAAAACCGCACCUGACAGGUUGGACCUCGGCCACCAUGGCGAUUUGGAGGCUGGAACUCGACCCCGAGGCUGAGGGCUAGCAGGUGAGUACUCUGUUCCGCCACCGGAUCACCUGCUUACCCCUGUGGUAGAUCUGCCAUUGCCUCCGAUGGCACCGCCGCCACCGUGUAAUUGUGUGUUUCCGUCGUAUGCCUUCCGACUGCAAGCUUCCUCAUGGAGUAAUAAAGAAAAUCAAAGAAACUGCUCUCACCGUGCUCUUCAAUAGCCAUAUCCAAGCCAGAGGAGGAAAGACCACACAACCCUGUUGAUCUGUACGUAUAUCUUCCUUCUGAAUAUAUGUUCAUUUUAUUGAUCCCUCCCACUUCCAUGUCAUAUCAUCUUAGGCCAACUUCACCGCGCGGCCCCAUCUUGUCUGGGUGUGUCUGUUUGGGGUAAAACGAACGAAUAACGCGGCCCAACGCGCGGCCUCAAACGGAAAAAUGUCCGGAUUCUGUCUGUUUUCGACCCAUCCCGGGCCCAAACUUGCGCUCGGUUUGAGGUGAAACGGACGCGCGCGGACGGUCUAGACGCACGCCCUUGUCCCCCCGUGGCUCGCCUGUCGGGGACACUAGCAGUCCCUCCGCUCCCAACGCUUCCAACCUCUCUCUCCCGCCCCGCCCCGCCACCGCCGCCGCCGCUAUUCUUCGGCCGCCUCCUCACCGCGCAACCCCCGGCCGUCCCUACCGAACCACGUCUUGACAUGGUCGCCACCACGCCUGCGCUUUCGCCGUAGUUUUGGCCGUCGAUCGGAGGAGGUUUGGCUGUCACCAUCUUUGCCGGUGGCAGAGGGGACACGACCGCCGGCGACGUACCACGGCGGCCUCGGCAGCUUCCGAUGAGAGCUCCAGAGCGGCCAGUAGCCAGCCGGCAACCACCCCUGCUGCAUCGAGGUGAUCAUCGCGGCCUCUUCGCGACCACGACUGCAAGGUGUUCGACAUUUUUCCCACAAAGGUAUGGACAGUGGAGACGAGUUUUUCUUCCAUCACUUCCUUUGUUCAUCGGACGAUUCAUCGUCGGAUGAUGAAGAUCUUGUGGUGGUUGCACUGGUCGUUCACGACCACAUCCAACGGCAGCUUCCUCGGUACACGGAGUCACUCCCUGGCCGUGCUCCCAACCUAAACCGCAACAAGGAGAGAGGCCACGCCCUGCUCCAUGCCGAUUACUUUGCGAACACCCCGCUUUUCAAGCCGGAUAAAUUUCGUCACCGUUUUCGUAUGGCAAGGCAUGUGUUCAGUCGUAUCCGAGAUGGAGUGGUUGCUCAUGACUCAUACUUCGAGUGCAAGACGGAUGCCCUUGGCAAGCUUGGAUUCUCCUCUUACCAGAAAUGCACCGCGGCCAUCCGCAUGCUUGCAUAUGGUAUUCCAGGCGAUCUGGUGGAUGAGUAUGUGCGUAUGAGUGAGACAACAUGUCUAAUGUCAAUGUACAAGUUUUGCCAGGCUGUGAUCGAGGUGUUUGGCCCAGAGUACUUGAGGCAGCCAACUGCCGCUGAUACAGAGAGAUUGUUGGCGACCAACGCAGCUAGAGGCUUUCCAGGCAUGCUUGGUAGCAUAGAUUGUAUGCACUGGGAGUGGAAGAACUGUCCAUUUGCUUGGCAGGGCCAGUACAAGGGGCAUGUCAACGGGGGCACUGUCAUAUUAGAAGCGGUGGCAUUGCAGGAUCUUUGGAUAUGGCAUUCUUUCUUCGGCGUGGCAGGUUCUCACAAUGAUAUCAAUGUGCUGCAACAUUCUCUAGUCUUCGCGAGGCUUGCAGAAGGCCACUCCCCACCUGUCAACUUUGAGAUCAACGGCCACCAGUACAACAAGGGAUACUAUCUAGCUUGUGGUAUAUAUCCUCAGUGGUCAACUUUUGUGAAGACAAUCUCGAAACCCCAAGGUGAGAAGAGAAAGAGAUUUGCCCAAAUGCAAAAGAGUGCUACAAAGGAUGUGGAACGUGCUUUUGGUGUGCUCCAAUCCCGGUGGGGUAUCGUUCGAAACCCUGCACUGUCAUGGGAUGAAAGGAAGCUUUGGGAGGUGAUGAGUGCUUGUGUGAUCAUGCACAACAUGAUCGUCGAGGACGAGCAUGAUGAGAGUAUCUUCGACCAAUGAUUUGAUUAUCAAGGUGAAAAUAUUGAGCCCCUGCACCAAGACCUGGCCACAUUUGAACAGUUUGUCCAAUUUCACCGUGAGAUGUGUGAUUGGCACACUCAUUUGAAUCUUCAAAAUGACUUGGUUGAGCACGUGUGGGAUCACAUUGGCAACCAAUAGAUGUAUUGGUUCAUUUUAUGUUCAGUCAAGACAAUUUCGAUUUGGUUGUAAAACUAUUUUAUUAAAGACAAUUUCAAUUGGGUUGUAAAACUAUUUUAAUUUUUAGACAAAUAUUUGGGUUGUAAACUAGUUUUGAUGAAAAUAUGGGCAUUUAUGGCCCUGACGGAUAGGAUGGGGCAAACGGAUGCGGUCGCGCGCUGGGCGCAUGGCCACCGCAUCCCAGGACACGACCCCAUUGCCCCACCCAAACAGACAGAAUCCGGACAAAACGGACGUCCGUUUGGGGUCGCGCGGUGGAGUUGGCCUUAGGUAUAUGAGAUCAUGUGGUUCGUAUGUUCUUCUUGCAUAUUGCUUCGUUAUGGCUGUUCUACUUUGCUAGCACACAAAGCAUUUUACGUGCCCGGCUGUUUGCUUGAGAUACAUCACGAUUGACUGAUUGAGUUAUUGAUUCAUUUUUGUAGGCAUGUGGAAAUUAUGAUGGAUGCUGUCGUCAUGGAAAUAGGUUCUAACCAGUGAGAAACCCACAUAUAACCUCAACACUUGGUUCCUGUUGUAGUAUUUGUUAUCUCAUGUUUUAUCCUCCUACUUGCUUUAGUUCCUUAUAUAUUCUUUCUCUAUCUAGCAAUUGCAUGACCUGCACUGCUGAAUUGUAACCACAGAUCUGUACUGGCAAAUACUAUGACCAUGUCUAUUCAGAUUUCCGUGACAACAAGCUCUUUACUUAUUGUUUUCAGUUACAUUUUGCAUUGGCUGAUGUUUAAUGAUGUGAAAAUCUUAGCAAUAAAUCUGCAGG